GGGGCCUGUUGCACAAAAGUAGAAUUAAGACAUCCGGGAUAAAUGACUCAGCUGAGCUCAAUGAAGCCAAAACAUGUGCGUCCAGGCUUAAUUGGUUGCACAAAGACCAAGCCAGGAUGAGCAGACACGGAUUCAUUAAGCCAGGUGAAACCAAUCCUGGAUAGGUGCGCGCUCACGGCUCACUCAAAUAGACCCCGCCACAGAUCACAGAUUAACUGAUUUACCAUGGCAACUAGAGCCGCGUACUUUUCCCCGUCGGAAGCACAAAUCCUCAUGGAGGCAUACGAGGAGGUAAAAGAUAUAAUUAAGAAGAAAGGCAACACCGCCACAGUGAUAAAGCAAAGAGAAAAAGCGUGGCAAAGUAUUGCAGACCGCCUGAAUGCGUAAGUAGUGCACAAUUACACACUCACCGCUCCGCUGAAACAUCACAAUUACAAUUCAAAUAUUUAAUUCACAUCUCCAAAAAUGCAGUUGUACUGUAAUUAUGAAACGGUUAAAUUGUUAAUUGAAAUGCACUGCAGAUAUGAGUGAAAUUGUGUAAAGUAACUCCAUCACACUGUAUAAAGCUAUGAUAAAUUUUUUGAUAUUUUUACUGAAAACAAGACAAAAAUACCAAGUAAUUUUUUGCAGUGUGACUCCAUUAAAUGUGUGUGUGUGUAGAUUAAACAUGAACGGGCCAAAACGGACAUGGCAGCAGGUCAAAAUCAAAUACAAGAACAUUCUGCAGAAUGCAGUGAAAAAGAAUACCCACAGACAAGGCACGGGUGGUGGGUCACCAAAGGCUGACCUUACCCCAGCAGAGGACAUGGCCUUGGAGCUAAAUAAAGGCAGGCCCGUCUUAGAGGGGAUCCCUGGGGGAAAGAGACGAGCAUAGGUUCCUCCCAAGAUGCCACCCGCUUCAUUCAAGUGCCUGGCAGCACUGUGUUCCUGUUAGAGCCACCAGCACAAGCACCAGACGAUGCUGAUCCAGGUGAAGGCCCCAGUGCAGCAGCAACAGCACAUGAUGGAGACUAUGAUGAGGAGGAGACCAUCUCUCUGGAUUCCAGAAGGCAUGAGGACCCAGAUGCUAUACAGUGGGAAAACCAGCCUGGCAACAUAGUGCGUAUUAAUAAAAGGACACCACAUCCUGCCAAAUUCCAGCUGCGCUAAUUGUAUUGUGUUCACAGAGCUCACAAGCUAUCAGAAAGUUGUAUGGCAACCACCUCCGGCGCCAAAUAGAACUGGCAGACAUAGACAUUCAGUACAAGAAGAAAAAGAUGGAAAAUCUUGCACUGGAGUCCGAAAUAAAAAAGAGGACAAUUAGGAAACUGGACCUUGAAAUAAAAAAACUUGAGAGGGAGCUCCAAGAAGAUGACACAGCUCAAAAUAAAAAUUAGGUAUAUUCUCGUAAAGUCAAGUGAGCCAUGACAUAUGAGCUCUUAUUGUGAGCACACAGGACGGUGGCAUCUUUCUAAGGUUUUUUUUAUUUUCCCAGCAAUCAGUACAACCAAGUCAUCGUUAUAAGGCAUCGCCCUCUUUUGCCCACCCCCCCAGCACCAGGUGUGGCCACUAGCCUAUAUGAAGGCCCAAAAUUGUGUGUUCCU
Long non-coding RNA from Oncorhynchus nerka (sockeye salmon), 1583 nucleotides. RefSeq lists it as uncharacterized. The record is from RefSeq and is a predicted model, not a curated record. The transcript is spliced from 6 exons. Lineage: Eukaryota; Metazoa; Chordata; Actinopteri; Salmoniformes; Salmonidae.